UGGGGAAUAUUGGUCAAUGGCCGUAAGGCUGAACCAGCCAAGUCGCGUGAGGGAAGACGGCCCUACGGGUUGUAAACCUCUUUUGCCGGGGAGCAAAAGACGCCACGCGUGGCGUUUCGAGAGUACCCGGAGAAAAAGCAUCGGCUAACUCCGUGCCAGCAGCCGCGGUAAUACGGAGGAUGCGAGCGUUAUCCGGAUUUAUUGGGUUUAAAGGGUGCGUAGGCGGCGUCCUAAGUCAGCGGUAAAAGCCCGGGGCUCAACCCCGCCCAGCCGUUGAAACUGGGAGUCUCGAGUGGGCGAGAAGUAUGCGGAAUGCGUGGUGUAGCGGUGAAAUGCAUAGAUAUCACGCAGAACCCCGAUUGCGAAGGCAGCAUACCGGCGCCCGACUGACGCUCAUGCACGAAAGCGUGGGUAUCGAACAGG
RNAcentral lists this ribosomal RNA (423 nucleotides) under uncultured bacterium. RNAcentral describes it as "bacterial SSU rRNA". It matches the Rfam family "Bacterial small subunit ribosomal RNA", at positions 355 to 776 of the family's 1533-position model. The record is from RNAcentral.